Molecule: ribosomal RNA, 468 nt
Filed under: uncultured bacterium
Lineage: Bacteria
Description: partial 16S ribosomal RNA
Rfam family: Bacterial small subunit ribosomal RNA
Source: RNAcentral
GACGAACGCUGGCGGCGUGCUUAACACAUGCAAGUCGAACGGAAAGGCCCUGCUUUUGUUGGGUGCUCGAUUGGCGAACGCGUGAGUAACACGUGAGUAACCUGCCCUUGACUUUGGGAUAACUUCAGGAAACUGGGGCUAAUACCGGAUAGGAGCUCCUGCUGCAUGGUGGGGGUUGGAAAGUUUCGGCGGUUGGGGAUGGACUCGCGGCUUAUCAGCUUGUUGGUGGGGUAGUGGCUUACGAAGGGUUUGACGGGUAGCCGGCCUGAGAGGGGGACCGGCCACAUGGGGACUGAGAUACGGCGCAGACUGCUACGGGAGGCAGCAGGGGGGAAUAUGGCAGAAUGGGCGGAAGCCUGAUGCAGCAAUGCCGCGUGCGGGAUGACGGCCUUCGGGUUGUAAACCGAUUUCGAAUGUGCCGAAGCGUGAGUGACGGUAAUGGGUAAAGAAGCACCGGCUAACUACGUG